Molecule: long non-coding RNA, 4804 nt
Filed under: Podarcis lilfordi (Lilford's wall lizard)
Lineage: Eukaryota; Metazoa; Chordata; Lepidosauria; Squamata; Lacertidae
Source: RNAcentral
ACAAUGCCCCAGAUGAAGGGCAACUGUCAGUGCCAAUGGGGUCCCCAUAAGCUACCUGAGAGUGCCUGGUGCUGGCGCCAAGCCUGGGUUUUAAAUAACAACUUCAUACAGAAGAGAAAGGUAAAGAACAGUGUGGUGGUGGUGGUGGUGGUGGUGGUGUUUUAAAAAAUAAACUAUGAAUAAGACAAUUGCCUAUCAAGGCACAAUCCUGCCACCUCCUACACAUCUCUGCAAAACCAAACAAAAUUCAGGGUUACACGGACAAAAAUUCACUGAACGACAGUCAUUAUCCAACGUGAGUAUGUAUUUUUCACAAUUACCUUCUCUUUUUGGAAACAGUACCUGGUGUUUGGUUCCAACUGAACCGGAGAGACAAUAUUUCUUUUGGGUGAUAUCUUUGAAACAGCAUCCAAAGUUUCAUGUACUACCUUCCCUCUAGAAAUGGAAGUAUCUUCCACCAACAUGACAAAAUUAGAAAAUUAAUGGCAGUCGUGGCUUUCCCACUGUCACUCUAAACUUCAUGAAUGUUACAAUUUUUGUCCCUUGUUUGAUGUACAAUGGGGGGAAAUUGCAGUAUAGACAUAAAACUGCCAAAGAAGUAUCAUAAGAAUCCAGCAGAUGAUAACUGUGACUCAGGAUGUAGGCGGCAUAGAUUAGGGAGCUGAAUAAUUAGGUUCAAGCUGAAUCAGGAAAACGAUGGGGAAACAGGCAAGAAACAGGGACACAAACAGGGAGAAUUCAGGACAGGAAACAGAGGGACAAAGUAAGGCACUGCCAAGGAGUUGCUGGCCAAGCUGGUUAGCAGCUUUGUUCCGCACUGAGCUGAGCGGAAAUUUCUCAGAAAAGAUUUUCUGUUAACAUUUUCUGAUCAUUUUCUUUUUCACCUCAGCCCUGGGGGGUGGGGGAAGAGUGAUUCUUCAGAAUAUUUUCUUCUACCCCACGCCAUUUUGGAAGAUGUAAAAUGGCAGCCAAGUUGUCAACCUUGGAGAAUUUCAUCACACCCUGGAGAAUAUCUGGCAACAUGCUGCACCCCCAUUUGGGAGGAGAGUGGCAUUUUCACAAAGCUGUAGUUCUGUCCCCCUUUGCAAAAAGACAGAGUGUAGAAGCCAAAAAGCAGAACAAGCCAAUAGGCAUUUUUGUGAGCUUGCAUUCAACAGCACAGUGAGGCUGAGGAGAGAUUCCAGGCAGAUUCCAGGCAAAGAGAUGACCAGCCAUCUCAAUUACUCAAAUAACUAGGGUAAGAAAGAAGAAUAGAGUGUAUUAGUGCAGUCAGAAGGAUUUAGGAUGCAAUACUGAUGGCCACAGACUUCCUGAAAAGGUGGAGCUUUUUGAAGUCCAAGAAUUAUGUUGCAAAAUGUGCAGAAAUUGUACAUAAGCCUCAAAGUUUGUGGCAUAUAUACAUCACCUUAAGGCUCCCCCUGCUGUUUGAUCUAGACUUAAUCCAUUCCAUCCUGCCUUCUCCUAUAUCACCUCCCAAAAAUCAAACAUGUCUUGGGCAUGGGAAGGAAUUCAGCUUGUAUAUUAAUGGAAAAAUUCUCCUCUCCCACUGAUAAUUGAAUUUGUAAUUCUUUUCAUCCAAUUUCCUUCUAUAUCGCCCUCUCUUAACUCCCAUAAUUUACCCAGCUGGUAUAUCUGAAAUCCUGCUUCUUGCUAAGAAUCAGGUUUGGUCAGGCAGAAUCUUAGUGUCCUACCAUACGCCAGGAUAGAAAGCGAGUUUUAGCAUCCUUUCUUCCGGUGUUUGAGAACAGCUAGCAUGGUCAAGUGUCCCUUUCUUCUCGGUAGUCAAUAAGGAAGGCCCUCCACCAUUGUAUAAAGUGAUUUUAGAAUAUGAACCCUGAUUUGAUUUAUUUAUUAAGUUUAUAUGUCACCCUUCAUCCAAUGACCACAGGGCAGUUUACAGUACAAAAACACAAAAAUGCAUAACAUCAUGACAAAAAUAAUAACCCCGCUUUGUUCCCCUGCACUUCUCUGUGUACUGCAACCCACCACAUUUCCCAUCCUCUCAAACAUUUCUCCUUCUGCUGCAAAUCUCUCCACAUUUGCAGCAAUCUCCAACUUGCUCCAAACCUCUUUACCCAGAUUGCAUCCGGCAACUACUGAUUUAAGCAAUCACUGCCCUGAAAUCCUCCAAUUGGAUUUCAUUUGUGUCCAUCUCCCCUAUACCUUCCCAUCACCCACAUGAGGCCAUGCACUUGAUUUCAAGCUGGGGUGCAGAGGAGGAAGUAGAGUGCGUGAUUUACUGUUGUUUUUCUUCUAAGCUAUUUCUAAUACUUGGCAGUACUAUUUGUGUUUAUUAUGUGUUCAGGAUUGUGAAAUGCCAGUCUUCAUUUAAAUAGUUUAAAGUAAACUGUUUAAUCUUAUGUUUUUACUUUAAUAAAUCAUUCUUGCCAUUGCUUCAGAAAUCCUUAUCUCUGGCUUGAUUAUUCUUUUAAACAAGGUGCCUUUUCACAGUGAUGCUUGUUGGUUUGAAGUCUAGACAUUUCAGGUGAAUGAAUGUGCUAACCAGCUGGUUAACUAAUGUGCAUAGAAACAUGGUAAAUAUAACAAACAUGUAACAUAAAAGGCAGAACUGGAAUGAAAGCUUCGUUGUUAUUCAUUCAAGACUGUGCUGUGCCCCAACAUCCUUUCCUCUGCCAGCUUUCCCCCUGACUUUCCCCAUCCUUCAACAUGUUCAACAGGGUUCUUUGCAUGUUCAGCUAAACAUGCUUAGGAAACCCCCUAUGACAGGAAACUCUGUGCAGUCAGGAUUCCCAAUAGUUCCAGGAUUCUAAACACAUCCGGUCAACUGUGCCAAAAAUCUGUCUUGAGACCAUUCCACUCAACUCAUGAAGCUCAAGAUAGAGGGAACUGAUGUCUAUUUCACCUUCACAAUUUACAUCUCUCCUUUAUUUACAUGUUUGUUUGUUUGCUGUUUGUUUGUUUCAAUGCCUGCAGAUGACUAAGUGAGGCUUCCUAUUAUAUUAUAUUCGAACCUCUGAAUUUGGGAAUCCCUUCCUCUAAAUCAGGAGGCAGGCUCAGAACAGUGAUUCAUGCAAACACAUAAGGAGUUGAUCCAUCUGAGAGCAAAUAAUUAUUACUCUUUCACACUCUAAAAAAAGGAGCAUAGCCUGGUCAUGUACCACAGAAGCAUGCUUUCAAGUUCCAAAAAUUCAGAACGUUGGGGAAAGCUGACCUAUACAGUAGAAGGGAAAUUUGCAUUUUGUGAGAAUUUGAUCCAUUACUUAGAUUACUGUGAAUUUUGGAUUACCAAAUUUGUUCCAUUAUUCUGCUCAUGCAAAUGCAAUUACACACAAUCUUAACCAGGCAUGCAUUUUCAAAUCAAGAAACAAUUCAGGGUGGGCGACUUCCUUGGAGAUGAAUUACAGUCGGAUACCAAUACCCAAGUACAAAGUGCAUGUGUAUCACAGUCCCCCAUGAAAGAUCCAUAUAUAAAUCCAUGUAUAAAUCACAGCUUCUAAUAAACUUCUAAUAAUAAGCUUCUAAUAAACAACAACAACUGAGUCAGAGGCCCAUGCAGACCUGGCUCUCUCUAAAUGAGCAUACCCUUCAUCAAUUAAAAAUUAUCUGAAAUCCGCAUCAGGAAAUGUCUCACAAUUAGCAACCUUAAGGUCCAUCAUGAAAAGGCCAUGGUUCAUCAGUUGUUCUUCCUUUUGUUACGAAGUUGCUCCUUGAAAGCACAUUCAGCCCCUUGCAACAAUGCAGUCGUUCCCUCCUUCCUCCCCAACAAAUGAAAGGGUCAGUCAUCUCAUUACCUGAAACAAAAACCCGAGUGCAGCUAGCAUUGUUAGAACCCUUAAUAACAGGAGAGAAACACUGCAGAGGAGAGAAGGGCACGAGAAACAAUGGCGUCUCACUCAUCAUUUCUAACACUCGCUGAAAUCCAAUCAGUUGGGUCAAUAAUCAGGGGACCUUGAAAAGACAAACCAGAUCAUUGUUAGAAUGUAAUUAAUCCAAAAGAGUAGAUGCAUUUGGUUGUUACUGAAAAGACUGAAACUGCAUUCCCAACAAUGCCUCUCAGAGAGCGAGUUAUUGGGCAAAAGAAAAGGCAAUUUAUUUAUUUUUUGCUUUUUGUAAGAUUUAAUUAUGCCUUACCCGAAAAAUACAACAACAAUACAGAAUUUCAAUGCAAUUCACUAAAACAAGAGGACAAAAUAUACCAAUUUUUAAUCCUGAAUAGAAAGGCUGAAAUAAUAGCUAUAUGCAUUAAUUACAACUGAUUUCACUAAUUAAGGUAGCUCUCAUUUUGGCAAGAUGUCACCAAUAUGCAAAAAAACAUCCAGUUCUCUUUUGUUUACCACAAUAUAUCCUAAAGUGGUAGUCUAAGUUUUGAACCAAUGUUUGGGGGUAGUUUUGGUUGGGAGUUCCAAUUCUCAUUAUUCCUCUUGUUAUCUCAGUGUUGGUCUACUGAGGAGCUGUACUUAAGAUAGCCAGGAUACUUCGAUUUAGCCAGAAUACUGCUGUCAGAUUAUUAUGAGGAGCUAACAGCCCAUACUGUAGAAUGGCAGCUUUACAUUACUUUCACAAGCGGCUUGCCUUCAGUUGAAUAUGGUGGCAUUAGCUUUUAAAACCCCAAACAGCCUGUGGGGACAGACCAUCUCAGGAAUUGCAUCCUCCCAUAUCAGGCUCUUUGAGAACUAUUCAGCCUAUGGGGCCAUUCAUUUUCUCCCCUCCACUGGCAAAAAAAAUAAUAUCUCUUCAUGGGGACAAGGGAAAGGGCUUUCUCUGUCAUGGGGCUAGACUGUAGAAUAAUUAUCCAAAGAGGAACUUCUGCCCCAUUCUUUCCCCACUUUUAUGCAAGUACAGU